AUUUUCAGGGAACAGAGAAGGACAAGCGUGUUACUGAGAGAGAAGAGAAGACCAAGAAGUCUUUGAGCAUAAAUGAGUUUCUGAAACCUGCAAAUGGAGAAAGGUACUACCCAAGAGGUGGUUACCGUGGUGGAAGGGGAGGACGUGGGCAACGAGAUGGAAACCAGAAGAACGGAGAAGCUGCUGGCCCAGGCAAUGAGGGAGGACGUGGACAAAGAGGAGGAGGAAAC
This is a non-coding RNA of Camelina sativa (false flax), 230 nucleotides long. NCBI's taxonomy places the organism in Eukaryota, Viridiplantae, Streptophyta, Magnoliopsida, Brassicales, Brassicaceae. The record is from RefSeq and is a predicted model, not a curated record.